This 317-nucleotide small RNA is filed under the name Histoplasma ohiense. RNAcentral describes it as "hypothetical lncRNA". The record is from RNAcentral. Lineage: Eukaryota; Fungi; Ascomycota; Eurotiomycetes; Onygenales; Ajellomycetaceae.
CGAAUAAUGAUGCUGAGUAUGACAGUGAUGCACGUUGUAUUUUAACUCCUCAAAUUACAGAGCGUAUCACAGAUGGUAUAAUCGGCUUCAUCAGCAAACCAGACAUUCAAAGCCCCGAGCGUCCCUUAGACAUCAACCAUGAUAUGUUUCCCACAGGACUUGACGGAACCUCGUCCGCAAUCUGGGAUGAAGCAUCUAACCCUGAAAAAGAGGUACCCGCCGGCAAUUUAGAGUCUUUACCAGAAAAUAACGGAGGAAUUUUCAACUUCGACACAUCCGAGGACGGUUUCAAGCCACAUGUCGAAGCUGAGUCCCAG